This 159-nucleotide unclassified non-coding RNA is filed under the name uncultured Ophiocordyceps. RNAcentral's name for it is "sequence contains ITS1". Lineage: Eukaryota; Fungi; Ascomycota; Sordariomycetes; Hypocreales; Ophiocordycipitaceae. The record is from RNAcentral.
CAAUGAGUGUUUUAUGGCACUCUUUAAAAAUCCAUAUCCACCUUGUGUGCAAUGUUUGUUGGGAGAGAGGCAACUCUUUCCCUUCACAAAUAUCAACCUAUAUCUUUAGAACUUUAGUGAUUUUGUCUGAAACAUAUUAUGAAUACUUAAUUCAAAAUA